This 76-nucleotide transfer RNA is filed under the name Mycobacterium phage CELFI. Its description in RNAcentral is "tRNA-Lys". It matches the Rfam family "tRNA". Rfam says of the family: Transfer RNA (tRNA) molecules are approximately 80 nucleotides in length. Lineage: Duplodnaviria; Heunggongvirae; Uroviricota; Caudoviricetes; Vilmaviridae. The record is from RNAcentral.
GCCCCUAUAGCUCAGUUGGCAGAGCAGGUGACUUUUAAUCAUCGGGUCCAAGGUUCGAUCCCUUGUGGGGGCACCC